AUUUAAAUAGUUUAUUUAAAACGUUAAUUUGUGGAAUUAAAGAUAUAAAGAGAUUAUUUUAGAUC
Molecule: transfer RNA, 65 nt
Filed under: Potamophylax cingulatus
Lineage: Eukaryota; Metazoa; Arthropoda; Insecta; Trichoptera; Limnephilidae
Description: tRNA-His
Source: RNAcentral